UUUUUGAGCACACGAUUUUAAGACGGUUUAGGCACUAUAUAAUAAAAUAUUUUAGGUCACAUAAAGGGGCAUAGAACGCAAGAGAUACAAUAGAGGAUCAAAAGACAACAUACAAGAAGAUAGAGAGAAAGAAUGCUGAGGUUUGAAGAGCUUGGCAUGAAGAAUGUAGAAUCUCGGUAUAAGAAGUUCAACCCUUUUUUCUUUUUUUCUUUUUUUUUUUAUAAGACCGA
Molecule: long non-coding RNA, 230 nt
Filed under: Olea europaea (common olive)
Lineage: Eukaryota; Viridiplantae; Streptophyta; Magnoliopsida; Lamiales; Oleaceae
Description: long non-coding RNA (OEUR_LNC002299)
Source: RNAcentral